UACGUAGGGGGCAAGCGUUGUCCGGAUUUAUUGGGCGUAAAGAGCUCGUAGGCGGUUUGGUGAGUCGGGUGUGAAAUCUCCACGCUCAACGUGGAGGGGCCACCCGAUACUGCCAUGACUAGAGUCCGGUAGGGGAGUGUGGAAUUCCCGGUGUAGCGGUGAAAUGCGCAGAUAUCAGGAGGAACACCGAUGGCGAAGGCAGGUCUCUGGGCCACUACUGACGCUGAGAAGCGAAAGCAUGGGGAGCGAACAGG
This 254-nucleotide ribosomal RNA is filed under the name uncultured bacterium. Its description in RNAcentral is "partial 16S ribosomal RNA". It matches the Rfam family "Bacterial small subunit ribosomal RNA", at positions 524 to 776 of the family's 1533-position model. The record is from RNAcentral.